This 482-nucleotide ribosomal RNA is filed under the name uncultured bacterium. RNAcentral describes it as "partial 16S ribosomal RNA". It matches the Rfam family "Bacterial small subunit ribosomal RNA", at positions 29 to 507 of the family's 1533-position model. The record is from RNAcentral.
AUUGAACGCUGGCGGCAUGCCUUACACAUGCAAGUCGAACGGUAACGGGCCUUCGGGUGCCGACGCGUGGCGAACGGGUGAGUAAUACAUCGGAACGUGCCCGAUCCUGGGGGAUAACGAGGCGAAAGCUUUGCUAAUACCGCAUACGAUCUACGGAUGAAAGCCGGGGACCGCAAGGCCUUGCGCGGGCGGAGCGGCCGAUGGCAGCUUCGGUAGUUGGUGGGAUAAAAGCUUACCCAGCCGACGAGCUGUAGCUGGUCGGAGAGGAUGAUCAGCCACACUGGGACGGAGACACGGCCCAGAGUACUACGGGAGGCAGCAGUGGGGAAUGUUGGACAAUGGGCGCAAGCCUGAUCCAGCCAUGCCGCGUGCAGGAUGAAGGCCUUCGGGGUGUAAACUGCUUUUGUACGGAACGAAAAGCCUUCUUUUAAUACAGGAGGGUCAUGACGGUACCGGAAGAAUAAGCACCGGCUAACUACGUG